Molecule: ribosomal RNA, 591 nt
Filed under: Burkholderia multivorans
Lineage: Bacteria; Pseudomonadati; Pseudomonadota; Betaproteobacteria; Burkholderiales; Burkholderiaceae
Description: bacterial SSU rRNA
Rfam family: Bacterial small subunit ribosomal RNA
Source: RNAcentral
ACUCCUACGGGAGGCAGCAGUAGGGAAUCUUCCGCAAUGGGCGAAAGCCUGACGGAGCAACGCCGCGUGAGUGAAGAAGGUCUUCGGAUCGUAAAACUCUGUUAUUAGGGAAGAACAAAUGUGUAAGUAACUAUGCACGUCUUGACGGUACCUAAUCAGAAAGCCACGGCUAACUACGUGCCAGCAGCCGCGGUAAUACGUAGGUGGCAAGCGUUAUCCGGAAUUAUUGGGCGUAAAGCGCGCGUAGGCGGUUUUUUAAGUCUGAUGUGAAAGCCCACGGCUCAACCGUGGAGGGUCAUUGGAAACUGGAAAACUUGAGUGCAGAAGAGGAAAGUGGAAUUCCAUGUGUAGCGGUGAAAUGCGCAGAGAUAUGGAGGAACACCAGUGGCGAAGGCGACUUUCUGGUCUGUAACUGACGCUGAUGUGCGAAAGCGUGGGGAUCAAACAGGAUUAGAUACCCUGGUAGUCCACGCCGUAAACGAUGAGUGCUAAGUGUUAGGGGGUUUCCGCCCCUUAGUGCUGCAGCUAACGCAUUAAGCACUCCGCCUGGGGAGUACGACCGCAAGGUUGAAACUCAAAGGAAUUGACGGG